AUUGUUCCCUGGCAGGGUGGGCAGGCCCUGGCACAGGGUGCCCAGAGCAGCUGGGGCUGCCCCUGGAUCCCUGGCAGUGCCCAAGGCCAGGCUGGACAUUGGGGCUGGAGCAGCCUGGGACAGUGGGAGGUGUCCCUGCCAUGGCUGGGCUUGGCAAUGAAUGUUCUUUAAAAAGGUCUUUUCAACCUGAACCAGUCUGAUUUUUAUGGUCUUACAUAUCUGAUAUCUAUAUAAUAUGUAUCAUAUAAUAAUCUCCUGCUCUCCUGCAGGUGCUGCUGCCUUCAAGAGAGUUACUGGAAGCUUGGGACCCUUGCAGUGCCAGGAAAAGGUGGUGACCAGAGAUGCUGCUGCUGCAGACAGGUUCUUGCUGCAGUGGAUGCUGCUGGGAACACAGUGCUCUGCAGGUGUAAAAUACCCACCUCACCCUAAAGGAUGGAAGUUUGGUGAGAGAGAAAGAGCAAGUGGGAUCCCUUGGAUCACUCAGAAUGUGGGAUUUCCAAGUGAGGGAAGGAGAGAAUCCCUGUGAAGAAAAGAGAUCGCAGAGAAAGUGUCACAGCCAGAGCAGGGUGAGGAGAGAGUUCCACAAACUUCAGUGAGUCGGAGGCUGUGGCACCAUGGAUAUCCCAGAGAGGAGAGCCAGGACCUUGAGGGACCUCAAACCUGAUUUAACAAACUGCUCAUUCUAGUUGCGAAUUUAAAUUCUCAAGGACUAGGAAGAAAAGCUCAGGAAAUGGGGAAACAAACCUUCCCUUUGUCAGCUGCCAGUUUAACCUGGCAGGAGCGGGAGCUGGGCUGAUGCUCUGCCAGGGUGAACCGGGAUCCCGGGGCUCCCGGGGGCCGCUCGGAGCUGCCGUGACCUGCAUUU
This 865-nucleotide long non-coding RNA is filed under the name Parus major (Great Tit). RNAcentral's name for it is "lncRNA (ENSPMJG00000003188.1)". Lineage: Eukaryota; Metazoa; Chordata; Aves; Passeriformes; Paridae. The record is from RNAcentral.